UGGGGAAUUUUGGACAAUGGGCGAAAGCCUGAUCCAGCAAUGCCGCGUGUGUGAAGAAGGCCUUCGGGUUGUAAAGCACUUUUGUCCGGAAAGAAAUCCUUGGCUCUAAUACAGUCGGGGGAUGACGGUACCGGAAGAAUAAGCACCGGCUAACUACGUGCCAGCAGCCGCGGUAAUACGUAGGGUGCAAGCGUUAAUCGGAAUUACUGGGCGUAAAGCGUGCGCAGGCGGUUUGCUAAGACCGAUGUGAAAUCCCCGGGCUCAACCUGGGAACUGCAUUGGUGACUGGCAGGCUAGAGUAUGGCAGAGGGGGGUAGAAUUCCACGUGUAGCAGUGAAAUGCGUAGAGAUGUGGAGGAAUACCGAUGGCGAAGGCAGCCCCCUGGGCCAAUACUGACGCUCAUGCACGAAAGCGUGGGGAGCAAACAGGAUUAGAUACCCUGGUAGUCCACGCCCUAAAACGAUGUCAACUAGUUGUUGGGGAUUCAUUUCCUUAGUAACGUAGCUAACGCGUGAAGUUGACCGCCUGGGGAGUACGGUCGCAAGACUG
This 549-nucleotide ribosomal RNA is filed under the name uncultured bacterium. Its description in RNAcentral is "partial 16S ribosomal RNA". It matches the Rfam family "Bacterial small subunit ribosomal RNA", at positions 355 to 896 of the family's 1533-position model. The record is from RNAcentral.